AUGACGUCAAGUCCGCAUGCUCCUUACGUCUAGGGCUACACACGUCCUACAAUGGGGUCGACAAUGGGAUGCAAUAUCGCAAGAUGGAGCCAAUCCCCAAACGGCCUCUCAGUUCGGAUUGUAGUCUGCAACUCGACUACAUGAAGUCGGAAUCGCUAGUAAUGGCGGAUCAGCAUGCCGCCGUGAAUACGUUCCCGGGUCUU
Molecule: ribosomal RNA, 203 nt
Filed under: uncultured bacterium
Lineage: Bacteria
Description: partial 16S ribosomal RNA
Rfam family: Bacterial small subunit ribosomal RNA
Source: RNAcentral